ACGCACCUUUCGGGGUGAGUGGCGGACGGGUGAGUAACGCGUGAGAAUCUGCCUAGAGGUCGGGGACAACCAUUGGAAACGAUGGCUAAUACCGGAUAUGCCUUACGGGGUGAAAGAUUAAUCGCCUUUAGAAGAGCUCGCGUCUGAUUAGCUAGUUGGUAGGGUAAAAGCCUACCAAGGCAUCGAUCAGUAGCUGGUCUGAGAGGAUGACCAGCCACACUGGGACUGAGACACGGCCCAGACUCCUACGGGAGGCAGCAGUGGGGAAUUUUCCGCAAUGGGCGAAAGCCUGACGGAGCAAGACCGCGUGAGGGAGGAAGGCCCUUGGGUCGUAAACCUCUUUUGUCAGGGAAGAACAAAAUGACGGUACCUGACGAAUCAGCAUCGGCUAACUCCGUGCCAGCAGCCGCGGUAAUACGGAGGAUGCAAGCGUUAUCCGGAAUUAUUGGGCGUAAAGCGUCCGCAGGUGGCUGAUCAAGUCUGCGGUCAAAGACCGGGGCUUAACCCUGGAAAGGCCGUGGAAACUGAUCAAGCUAGAGUACCGUAGGGGUAGAGGGAAUUCCCGGUGUAGCGGUGAAAUGCGUAGAGAUCGGGAAGAACAUCGGUGGCGAAAGCGCUCUACUGGACGGUGACUGACACUCAGGGACGAAAGCUAGGGGAGCGAAUGGGAUUAGAUACCCCAGUAGUCCUAGCCGUA
RNAcentral lists this ribosomal RNA (697 nucleotides) under uncultured cyanobacterium. RNAcentral's name for it is "bacterial SSU rRNA". It matches the Rfam family "Bacterial small subunit ribosomal RNA", at positions 66 to 804 of the family's 1533-position model. The record is from RNAcentral. Lineage: Bacteria; Bacillati; Cyanobacteriota.